This 92-nucleotide transfer RNA is filed under the name Panacagrimonas perspica. Its description in RNAcentral is "tRNA-Ser". It matches the Rfam family "tRNA". Rfam says of the family: Transfer RNA (tRNA) molecules are approximately 80 nucleotides in length. Lineage: Bacteria; Pseudomonadati; Pseudomonadota; Gammaproteobacteria; Nevskiales; Nevskiaceae. The record is from RNAcentral.
GGAGAGUUGGCCGAGUGGACGAAGGCGCGCCCCUGCUAAGGGCGUAUAGGCGUUAAACCCUAUCGAGGGUUCGAAUCCCUCACUCUCCGCCA